RNAcentral lists this ribosomal RNA (119 nucleotides) under Octodon degus (degu). Lineage: Eukaryota; Metazoa; Chordata; Mammalia; Rodentia; Octodontidae. The record is from RNAcentral.
GUCUAUGGCCAUACCACCCUGAACGUGCCUGAUCUUGUCUGAUCUCAGACACUAAGCAGGGUCGGGCCUGAUUAGCACUUGGAUGGGAGACCGCCUGGGAAUACUGGGUGCUGUAGGCU